This 497-nucleotide ribosomal RNA is filed under the name uncultured bacterium. RNAcentral's name for it is "partial 16S ribosomal RNA". It matches the Rfam family "Bacterial small subunit ribosomal RNA", at positions 28 to 507 of the family's 1533-position model. The record is from RNAcentral.
GAUGAACGCUGGCGGCGUGCCUAAUACAUGCAAGUCGAGCGAACAGAUGAGGAGCUUGCUCCUCUUACGUUAGCGGCGGACGGGUGAGUAACACGUGGAUAACCUACCUAUAAGACUGGGAUAACUUCGGGAAACCGGAGCUAAUACCGGAUAAUAUAUUGAACCGCAUGGUUCAAUAGUGAAAGACGGUUUUGCUGUCACUUAUAGAUGGAUCCGCGCCGCAUUAGCUAGUUGGUAAGGUAACGGCUUACCAAGGCAACGAUGCGUAGCCGACCUGAGAGGGUGAUCGGCCACACUGGAACUGGGCCCCGCUCCAGACUCCUACGGGAGGCAGCAGUAGGGAAUCUUCCGCAAUGGGCGAAAGCCUGACGGAGCACCGCCGCUUGAGUGAUGAAGGUCUUCGGAUCGUAAACCUCUGUUAUUAGGGAAGAACAAAUGUGUAAGUAACUAUGCACGUCUUGACGGUACCUAAUCAGAAAGCCACGGCUAACUACGUG